CUGAUUUCACUAGUGAUUUCUGUUUGAUCCUGGCGGAGGCUACUGCUAUUGGGAUUCGAUUAAGCCAUGCAAGUUGAAUGAAUUUAGAUUCAUGGCGUACGGCUCAGUAACACGUGGAUAACUUACCCUUAGGACUGGGAUAACUCUGGGAAACUGGGGAUAAUACCGGAUAUUAGGCUAUGUCUGCAAUGGUUUGCCUUUGAAAUGUUUUUUUUCGCCUAAGGAUAGAUCUGCGGCUGAUUAGGUCGUUGGUGGGGUAAUGGCCCACCAAGCCGAUGAUCGGUACGGGUUGUGAGAGCAAGGGCCCGGAGAUGGAACCUGAGACAAGGUUCCAGACCCUACGGGGUGCAGCAGGCGCGAAACCUCCGCAAUGUACGAAAGUGCGACGGGGGGAUCCCAAGUGUUAUGCUUAAAGGUAUGACUUUUCAUUAGUGUAAAAAGCUUUUAGAAUAAGAGCUGGGCAAGACCGGUGCCAGCCGCCGCGGUAACACCGGCAGCUCGAGUGGUAGCUGUUUUUAUUGGGCCUAAAGCGUUCGUAGCCGGUUUAAUAAGUCUUUGGUGAAAGCUUGUAGCUUAACUAUAAGAAUUGCUGGAGAUACUAUUAGACUUGAAGUCGGGAGAGGUUAGAGGUACUACCGGGGUAGGGGUGAAAUCUAUAAUCCUGGGAGGACCACCUGUGGCGAAGGCGUCUAACUGGGACGAUCUUGGCGGUGAGUACGAAAGCAAGGGGCGCGAACCGGAUUAGAUACCCCGGUAGUCCUGGCCGUAAACGAGGUGGACUUGGGGUGGAAUGGCUUUGAGUUGUCCCGUGCCGAAGGGGACUGUUAGUCCACCCCUGGGAAGUACGGCCCAAGAUGGACUUAAGGAUUGGG
RNAcentral lists this ribosomal RNA (872 nucleotides) under uncultured rumen archaeon. RNAcentral describes it as "bacterial SSU rRNA". It matches the Rfam family "Archaeal small subunit ribosomal RNA", at positions 1 to 868 of the family's 1478-position model. The record is from RNAcentral.